This 1228-nucleotide small RNA is filed under the name Arabidopsis thaliana (thale cress). RNAcentral's name for it is "ATSL028780". The record is from RNAcentral. Lineage: Eukaryota; Viridiplantae; Streptophyta; Magnoliopsida; Brassicales; Brassicaceae.
AAAUAUUUCAAAAACAAAAGAGAAAAAACAAAAGUUUCAUGGCACACUUGAUUUUUCCGAUCUUGAACCUUCUACUCUCGAACUACUUGUAGUCUUUCGAGUAUCUCCAUGGUUAAACUCAUUGGUAUCUUCUGUGGUACCUACAAUUUACAAUGAAAUUUAAUUAAUAUAAUUCAAUUACCUAUAAAGCUUUCAAUUUAAAACUCUUACCUUCAUAGUCAACAAACUUGCGUAGCCAAUUGCGAGUACAAAGCAAACAUGAACAUUUUCUGGAAGCAAGCGAUUUCUAUAUGGAGUCAAAACCCUCGAUCCAAUGCUAAAAGCUGAGUUUGAUGCUACUUUAGUAAUAGGAAUGCUAAGGACAUCGCAUGUCAUAGAAGCUAAACCGCCAAAUCGAUUCUGAUUAUCUUUCCAAUAGCUUAAGACAUCCAAAUUUCGAAAAAGACUUUCACUCUCAUCCAAAUAAAUAUCCAAGUGUGUCUUUGUGUUGUUCACACCGUCUUCAAUACUUCUUUCUAGUUCAAAUAGAUCUUAUGUUACAAAAACUCACAUUAAGUUAAUUCACCAAGUUCCAACUUUAUACAAUAUCAUCAAAUUCUUCUCGAGCCCUUUAAUUUUUAACUUAUAAGUAGUAGAAUUUACUUUCUUUUAAGCUACUUCAAGCAUCUUCAAUUUAAGCUUCGGAUCCAAAACUGCUCUCAUAGCCAAAAUGAGACUAUAAUCUUCCCAAUACUCGGAAAAUUUACCAUGCAUCUCUUGAGCCACUUGCUCAACAACAUCAUCAUCACAAAUAGCAUACUUCUUCAGCAACAACUCAAUCCUCCAUAUUUGUGUAAAGUAUACAUUGGAUGUGGGAUACUUAGAGCCUAAAAAGUAAGUGAUAAUAACACUAAAAGGUUUCAAUAGAUCAAAAAUUUAUCAUUGGUAUCAAAAGCUUUCAUGCUAACAAACGCUUCUCUAAACUUCAACGCUCUAGCAAGCAUUUCAUCUUUCUACAUGCCAUGUUCAUAUUCCGAACAAAAAAAUUGCAUUCAAACGAUUAAAAGAAAGAAAAAAAAUUGGUAUGCCCGAAUUUUUUGUUGAAUAAUUACAAACUUUAUUUUUGCAUUCGAACUUAUUUUUCCCCAAAAUUGCUAAAUCAAAGAAGCAUCAGAACAAUGAAGUUUAUAUGUGAUAUGUUUGUCUUUUGUUUUGAUUGAAUUUCUUCUUCAUUCUUUUUUUGCAUUAU